AGACGACCACCAGUACAGCGAACGCCAGGUCAGCAGAUGAACCACAUCCCUCUCCACAAUCAGAUGCUGAGGAAGAUGAUCUACCUGGUCCCAGCAGCACUCUUCAAAAGAUUGUGACUGACGUCCAAACCCAAGGUCAGUUUUUCCCACUGAGACGGACCAAAAGUAUCAUAAUGAAAUACACAAAUCUUGAGGAACCUGGUCAACUCUAUGAUUCUUCAUCAGGGAGUGGAGAGGAAUACAUUCCAGAUACCACUUCUGAAAGCGACGGCAACAGUGAUGCCAGCCUUUGUCUAAAUCCAAGACAAAAACAGCAGUCUCUUGAUCAUCCGAUGGAUAUCUCUGGCCCUUUGAGUCCCACUGUCUGCGACUCCACCACAUCAGAUAAAAUGACUUUUGACAAUGACAGGCAUGGUGUUGCAUCUGAACUCACUGAAGUAUAUGAAGAACCUUGUUCAAGUCAGAGCCAAAAUAGCAGCGUAGUUGUUAAUGCAUGUAAAAAAAAAGAUGGGAAAAGAGUGUACGACAAGAGACAUUAUUGCUGGUACUGCUGUAAGCCUUAUGCUAAGAUAGCAAGGCAUCUCGAACGUGCACACAAAGACAAAUCUGAUGUAGCUAAGGCUCUAAGUUUCCCAAAGGGGUCCAAGAAGAGACAUGCACUGUUAGAUUAUAUCCGCAACAAGGGAAACUUUGCUCACAAUGCUUCUGUUAUGGAGUCAGGAAAGGGAGAACUGGUGCCGUUUAGAAGACCCACUAAAGAAGCACAGGGAAAUGACUUCAUGCACUGUGCAUAUUGUCAAGGACUUUACAAGCGAAAGGUCCUCUGGCAACAUAUGAACACUUGUAAAGUUAAACCUGGAUCAGUCGUCCCUACACCAGGAAAGAACCGAGUUCAGUCCAUGUGUGCAUACACAAUGCCUGUGCCGCCAAACAUUACUAAGAAGCUGUGGGGAGUAAUCAGUGCCAUGAAUCCUGACUUAGUCACAAAUAUAGUAAAAAAUGACCAAGUCAUUAUUGAUAUUGGGCAGCACCUGUUAAACAAAGGAGGGCUGUCAGCCAAGAAUCAACAGUGUGUGCGAGAAAAGAUGCGAGAAAUGGGAAGGCUGGUUGAAAAUGCCAGAAGAUACACCAGCUUAAAAAAAAUGGAAGACUUCAUAAAUCCAAAGAAGUACAUGGAGACUGUCAAAGCUGUUAAGGUUACAUGUGGGUAUGACAGUGAAACAAAUAAGUUCUUAAUUCCAUCACUAGCAAACAAACUUGGGAAUGCCCUGGUUAAAGUAAGUAAAUUCUUAAAAGCUCAGGGUUUAAUUACAAACAAUGAAGAGCUUGUGAGGAAUGCCACUGAUUUUCAAGCUGUACAUCAGGAAAAGUGGAAUGCCAUGAUUUCGGCUACAGCAUUGAGGAACAUCAGGGAGGCCAAGUGGAACAUGCCCACUCUCCUGCCCUUUACCGAAGAUGUCCAAAAACUGCAUUCAUAUCUCAAUCAAGUGCAUGAUAACGUGUACAACUCACUCUCUGAAAGUCCUUCCACUAAAGCCUGGAAGGAGCUGGCUAAGGUGUGCCUGGCGGACAUCAUCCUCUUUAACCGGCGCAGAGAAGGAGAGGUGGCAAACAUGACUUUAGCUACAUUUUCAUCACGGGACACUUCUGAUCCACAUGAGGAUGUGGACUGGGCACUCUCUGAAGUAGAAAAAAAACUCUGCAGACACUUCUCAAGGAUUGUCACUAGGGGAAAACGUGGUCGCCCAGUUCCAAUUCUUCUGACUCCAAAAAUGUUGAGUGCAUUAGAUCUCCUCGUUAAGCAGAGAGAGGCUUGUGGGGUUCUAAAAGACAAUUAUUAUGUGUUUGCAAGACCAGGAGCCAUGUCACAUUUUCGAGGUUCAGACUGCCUUCGUAAUUUUGCCAAGGAAUGUGGUGCCAAGUGUCCAAAGUUACUGACAUCUACCAGACUACGAAAGCAUGCUGCAACCCUUUCAACAGUGCUGAACAUGACAGACACCGAGAUGGACCAGCUGGCCAACUUUCUUGGACAUGACAUAAGAAUUCAUCGUGCGUUCUAUCGACUUCCUGAGAAGACUUUGCAGCUUGCCAAGAUCAGCAAAGUUCUAAUGGCCCUUGAACAAGGAAGACUGGCUGAGUUUCAUGGAAAGAACUUGGAUGAGAUUGGAAUAGAUCCAGAUGAAAAUGUUCUAGACUGUGAUGAAGACAGGUGCACACAGGAGGGAAGCUGUUCAUCUGCUGAAGAUGAACCAGCAGACGAGACACUUCCUCCCACUGAGAGAAAUGAAAUGCCACCACCACCCAAGAGAUUCAAGCCCCUACCAUCAGAUGAUAAUGUAGCAUCAGGGGUCACCUCUUCCUCCAAAGGUAAAUCUACUCGAACGAAGAAAACACCCUGGCAACAAACAGAGGUGCAAGCAGUGGAAAGACACAUGAAAC
Amphiprion ocellaris (clown anemonefish) is the source of this 2439-nucleotide long non-coding RNA. Lineage: Eukaryota; Metazoa; Chordata; Actinopteri; Pomacentridae. The record is from Ensembl.